CUAAGUUUGAUGGCGACCGGCGCACGGGUGAGUAACACGUAUCCAACCUGCCGAUGGCUCGGGGAUAGCCUUUCGAAAGAAAGAUUAAUACCCGAUGGCAUAGUUCUUCCGCAUGGUGGAACUAUUAAAGAAUUUCGGUCAUCGAUGGGGAUGCGUUCCAUUAGGUUGUUGGCGGGGUAACGGCCCACCAAGCCUUCGAUGGAUAGGGGUUCUGAGAGGAAGGUCCCCCACAUUGGAACUGAGACACGGUCCAAACUCCUACGGGAGGCAGCAUG
RNAcentral lists this ribosomal RNA (275 nucleotides) under uncultured bacterium. RNAcentral describes it as "partial 16S ribosomal RNA". It matches the Rfam family "Bacterial small subunit ribosomal RNA", at positions 79 to 353 of the family's 1533-position model. The record is from RNAcentral.